This is a long non-coding RNA of Hemicordylus capensis (graceful crag lizard), 411 nucleotides long. RefSeq lists it as uncharacterized. Lineage: Eukaryota; Metazoa; Chordata; Lepidosauria; Squamata; Cordylidae. The record is from RefSeq and is a predicted model, not a curated record. The transcript is spliced from 3 exons.
UUGACCUCUGAUAGGCUCUGUAUUCAUUCCUAUAGCCUGUAAACAAUAUAAAAGACUCUUGCCAAAAAGCCUGAGCGUGUGCUCUUGGAAGAGAGACACCUGGCAUGUUGUGAUCAAUAAAUGUUUGGACCUGAUGGACGGCUUGGCCACUGCUCAUUAAACAAACCCAGAAUUCUCAGAAUUUCUCCGUCAACUGUCAAGCAGUUCAGUCUGGUUGAGUUCUAGAGAAGUCAAUAGCUUCUACUCAAGCUGAUGAGGGCUUUAUAGGCCCAGGUUCCUGAAAAAAGGACGGAAGCACAGUGUUCUGAUUCAAGUGGAAAUCAGUAACUACCUUUGACCUUGAACCUGAUGGGCUCCGCAAUGGUCUCCCCAAACCUUCAGAGAGGUGUCUGUCAUGACACACUGCGUCGG